This 263-nucleotide ribosomal RNA is filed under the name uncultured bacterium. RNAcentral's name for it is "partial 16S ribosomal RNA". It matches the Rfam family "Bacterial small subunit ribosomal RNA", at positions 524 to 786 of the family's 1533-position model. The record is from RNAcentral.
UACGUAGGGAGCGAGCGUUAUCCGGAUUUACUGGGUGUAAAGGGUGCGUAGGCGGUUUGUUAAGUCAGAAGUGAAAUUUAGGGGCUCAACCUCUAAGCUGCUUCUGAAACUGAUGAACUAGAGUGUGGGAGAGGAAAGUGGAAUUCCGAGUGUAGCGGUGAAAUGCGUAGAGAUUCGGAGGAACACCAGUAGCGAAGGCGGCUUUCUGGACCAUAACUGACGCUGAGGCACGAAAGCGUGGGGAGCAAACAGGAUUAGAUACC